AACGAACGCUGGCGGCAGGCCUAACACAUGCAAGUCGAGCGCGCCCUCCGGGAUGAUCGGCGGCCGGGGGUGUAACGCGUGGGAACGUGCCCUCUUCUACGGAAUAGCCUCGGGAAACUGAGAGUAAUACCGAAUACGCCCUAUGGGGGGAAGAUUUAUCGGAAAAGGAUCGGCCGGCGUGGGAUUAGGUAGUUGGUGUGGUUAUAGACUAACAAGCCGAGGAUUCAUAGCUGGGUAGAGAGGAUGAUCAGCGACACUGAGACUGAGACACGGCCCAGACUCCUACGGGAGGCAGCAGUGGGGAAUCGAGGAACGUGGGGGCAACGCUGAAGUAGCCAUGACGGGUGAGUGAUGAAGGCCUUAGGGUUGUAAAGCUCUUGCAGCUGUGAAGAUAAUGACGGUACCAGCAGAAGAAGCCCCGGCUAACUCCGUG
This 433-nucleotide ribosomal RNA is filed under the name uncultured bacterium. RNAcentral's name for it is "partial 16S ribosomal RNA". It matches the Rfam family "Bacterial small subunit ribosomal RNA", at positions 29 to 507 of the family's 1533-position model. The record is from RNAcentral.